Molecule: ribosomal RNA, 506 nt
Filed under: uncultured Desulfobulbus sp.
Lineage: Bacteria; Pseudomonadati; Thermodesulfobacteriota; Desulfobulbia; Desulfobulbales; Desulfobulbaceae
Description: bacterial SSU rRNA
Rfam family: Bacterial small subunit ribosomal RNA
Source: RNAcentral
CCUUGCCAGCCCGCUCAGAACUCAAAGGAAUUGACGGGGCCGCACAAGCGGUGGAGUAUGUGGUUUAAUUCGAUGCAACGCGAAGAACCUUACCUGGUCUUGACAUCCCGGAGACCCUUAGGAAACUAGGGGGUGCUUCCAUCUGGAAGAAUCUGGAGACAGGUGCUGCAUGGCUGUCGUCAGCUCGUGUCGUGAGAUGUUGGGUUAAGUCCCGCAACGAGCGCAACCCUUGCCUUUAGUUGCCAGCAGUUCGGCUGGGCACUCUAAAGGGACUGCCGGUGUUAAACCGGAGGAAGGUGGGGAUGACGUCAAGUCCUCAUGGCCUUUAUGACCAGGGCUACACACGUACUACAAUGGCCGAUACAAAGGGCAGCGACACUGCGAGGUGAAGCCAAUCCCGUAAAAUCGGUCUCAGUCCGGAUUGGAGUCUGCAACUCGACUCCAUGAAGUUGGAAUCGCUAGUAAUCGUGGAUCAGCAUGCCACGGUGAGUACGUUCCCGGGCCUU